AGUGGGGAAGCGUAGGAAGGUUUAGUUUUGGGGUUGGUGUGAGGAUGAAGUAGAGAGGGUUGGUGUGGGAUCCGACCAGACAUAACUGCGUGCGUUAGUUGAUUUAGACUCACUCAUUACAAACCUUUGUUUUUUUUUUGCCCAUAGGAUUUUCAACAAUAGCAAAUAAGUUAGUGACUUUUCACGUCAUACGUCUGUUUCAGAUAAUAGUCUAAUAAAUAAUUAAUCAGUUUUAAAAGAGAUAAUUAUAUUUGCCUUUGUUUCUAAACCAAAAAAAAAGAGAGAGAAAGAAAACACAGAAAGGUUUGAGAGAGUCGGUGUUGUAUGUUUAGUGGUAGGACCAGAGGAGUAGGUGGGUGUGUUUGGUGAAACGUAAAGUUUAUUUAUUUUUGAUUUUUUUAAUGUUGAUUGUUAUAAGUGAGUUCAAUGAAUCAUGCGAUCUUCGUUGAACAUGUUACAUGCAGUUAUUUUUUUCUUUAAUCACCAGUAUACAUUAAUCUGAUUCCAAUUGUGACAGAAUAACAACAGUACCAUAAAAUGCAGACUAUAUUUUUUAUUGAAUUUACAUAUAUGAUCGGUUUGUCACUUUAUUGAUGAAUUAGUCAGCUUAAGUUAUAAUCAUUAACACCAUUAAUGUUGAAAGUUAUAGUCUGCAUUUUUUUCCAAUGAUAUAUAGUCUGCAUUUUCGCUACAAAUAUCUUUGUUGGAUUAGUCUUGACUGAAGUUUCUGUUUUAGUGUUGUUGGAUC
RNAcentral lists this long non-coding RNA (748 nucleotides) under Brassica napus (rape). RNAcentral describes it as "long non-coding RNA (BNAP_LNC002302)". The record is from RNAcentral. Lineage: Eukaryota; Viridiplantae; Streptophyta; Magnoliopsida; Brassicales; Brassicaceae.